Small nuclear RNA from Peromyscus maniculatus bairdii (prairie deer mouse), 164 nucleotides. Its record names the gene U1. It matches the Rfam family "U1 spliceosomal RNA". From Rfam's summary of the family: U1 is a small nuclear RNA (snRNA) component of the spliceosome (involved in pre-mRNA splicing). Its 5' end forms complementary base pairs with the 5' splice junction, thus defining the 5' donor site of an intron. The record is from Ensembl. Lineage: Eukaryota; Metazoa; Chordata; Mammalia; Rodentia; Cricetidae.
AUAUUUAUCUGGCAGUGGAUUUACCAUAAUCACAAAGAUAGUUUUCCCAGGGUGAGGCUUAUCUUUUGCACUCCAGAUAUGCUGACCCCUUCGAUUUUCCCAAAUGUAGGAAACUCAGCUGCAUAAUUUGUGGUAGUGGGGGACUGUAUUCCUGCUCUCCCUUG